This 387-nucleotide unclassified non-coding RNA is filed under the name fungal sp. Its description in RNAcentral is "partial internal transcribed spacer region". The stretch from base 1 to 46 matches the Rfam family "Eukaryotic small subunit ribosomal RNA", at positions 1786 to 1831 of the family's 1831-position model. The record is from RNAcentral. Lineage: Eukaryota; Fungi.
AAGUCGUAACAAGGUUUCCGUAGGUGAACCUGCGGAAGGAUCAUUAACACAUAUUAACAAUAUAAACCUGGUUGCAUAGUGCGAACCUAUCGGGAGAGGCUUGUAGGGAAUGGUUGGAUCCAUUUCACAUAUAAUGUGACUUGGGUUGUCUACAGGCUAGCAUCCAUGUACGCUCGUAGUUUCUGCUCGCUGUGAGGUGCAGCUCUACCCGGUAAGGAAUACAGCCCCCAACAUGGCUGGACCCUUUUUUUUUACUUGAAUUACGGUUUGAUUGCGAGUUUAAUUUCAGAUGGAGAGGUUCGUCCUUUCUCUGGUUGGGCUCGUGUGACUGGAGCAAUCCAUGUCAUAAACAAAACACAACUCUUAACAGCGGAUAUCUCGGUUCUC